GGGUUGUGAGGUUAAGCGACUAAGCGUACACGGUGGAUGCCCUGGCAGUCAGAGGCGAUGAAGGACGUGCUAAUCUGCGAAAAGCGUCGGUAAGGUGAUAUGAACCGUUAUAGCCGGCGAUGUCCGAAUGGGGAAACCCAGUGCAAUUCGUUGCACUAUCGUUAACUGAAUACAUAGGUUAACGAGGCGAACCGGGGGAACUGAAACAUCUAAGUACCCCGAGGAAAAGAAAUCAACCGAGAUUCCCCCAGUAGCGGCGAGCGAACGGGGAGCAGCCCAGAGUCUGAAUCAGCUUGUGUGUUAGUGGAACGGUCUGGAAAGUCCGACGGUACAGGGUGAUAGUCCCGUACACCAAAAUGCACAGGUUGUGAACUCGAAGAGUAGGGCGGGACACGUGGUAUCCUGUCUGAAUAUGGGGGGACCAUCCUCCAAGGCUAAAUACUCCUGACUGACCGAUAGUGAACCAGUACCGUGAGGGAAAGGCGAAAAGAACCCCGGCGAGGGGAGUGAAAAAGAACCUGAAACCGUGUACGUACAAGCAGUGGGAGCACCUUCGGGUGUGACUGCGUACCUUUUGUAUAAUGGGUCAGCGACUUAUAUUCUGUAGCAAGGUUAACCGUAUAGGGGAGCCGCAGGGAAACCGAGUCUUAACUGGGCGUUAAGUUGCAGGGUAUAGACCCGAAACCCGGUGAUCUAGCCAUGGGCAGGUUGAAGGUUGGGUAACACUAACUGGAGGACCGAACCGACUAAUGUUGAAAAAUUAGCGGAUGACUUGUGGCUGGGGGUGAAAGGCCAAUCAAACCGGGAGAUAGCUGGUUCUCCCCGAAAGCUAUUUAGGUAGCGCCUCGUGAAUUCAUCUUCGGGGGUAGAGCACUGUUUCGGCUAGGGGGUCAUCCCGACUUACCAACCCGAUGCAAACUACGAAUACCGAAGAAUGUUAUCACGGGAGACACACGGCGGGUGCUAACGUCCGUCGUGAAGAGGGAAACAACCCAGACCGCCAGCUAAGGUCCCAAAGUCAUGGUUAAGUGGGAAACGAUGUGGGAAGGCACAGACAGCCAGGAUGUUGGCUUAGAAGCAGCCAUCAUUUAAAGAAAGCGUAAUAGCUCACUGGUCGAGUCGGCCUGCGCGGAAGAUGUAACGGGGCUAAACCAUGCACCGAAGCUGCGGCAGCGACACUAUGUGUUGUUGGGUAGGGGAGCGUUCUGUAAGCCUGCGAAGGUGACCUGUGAGGGUUGCUGGAGGUAUCAGAAGUGCGAAUGCUGACAUAAGUAACGAUAAAGCGGGUGAAAAGCCCGCUCGCCGGAAGACCAAGGGUUCCUGUCCAACGUUAAUCGGGGCAGGGUGAGUCGACCCCUAAGGCGAGGCCGAAAGGCGUAGUCGAUGGGAAACAGGUUAAUAUUCCUGUACUUGGUGUUACUGCGAAGGGGGGACGGAGAAGGCUAUGUUAGCCGGGCGACGGUUGUCCCGGUUUAAGCAUGUAGGCUGAUUGUCCAGGCAAAUCCGGAUAAUCAAGGCUGAGGUGUGAUGACGAGGCACUACGGUGCUGAAGUAACAAAUGCCCUGCUUCCAGGAAAAGCCUCUAAGCAUCAGGUAACAUCAAAUCGUACCCCAAACCGACACAGGUGGUCAGGUAGAGAAUACCAAGGCGCUUGAGAGAACUCGGGUGAAGGAACUAGGCAAAAUGGUGCCGUAACUUCGGGAGAAGGCACGCUGGUGUGUAGGUGAAGUCCCUGCGGAUGGAGCUGAGACCAGUCGAAGAUACCAGCUGGCUGCAACUGUUUAUUAAAAACACAGCACUGUGCAAACACGAAAGUGGACGUAUACGGUGUGACGCCUGCCCGGUGCCGGAAGGUUAAUUGAUGGGGUUAUCCGUAAGGAGAAGCUCUUGAUCGAAGCCCCGGUAAACGGCGGCCGUAACUAUAACGGUCCUAAGGUAGCGAAAUUCCUUGUCGGGUAAGUUCCGACCUGCACGAAUGGCGUAAUGAUGGCCAGGCUGUCUCCACCCGAGACUCAGUGAAAUUGAACUCGCUGUGAAGAUGCAGUGUACCCGCGGCAAGACGGAAAGACCCCGUGAACCUUUACUAUAGCUUGACACUGAACAUUGAGCCUUGAUGUGUAGGAUAGGUGGGAGGCUUUGAAGCGUGGACGCCAGUCUGCGUGGAGCCAACCUUGAAAUACCACCCUUUAAUGUUUGAUGUUCUAACGUUGGCCCCUGACCGGGGUUGCGGACAGUGUCUGGUGGGUAGUUUGACUGGGGCGGUCUCCUCCCAAAGCGUAACGGAGGAGCACGAAGGUUAGCUAAUCCUGGUCGGACAUCAGGAGGUUAGUGCAAUGGCAUAAGCUAGCUUGACUGCGAGCGUGACGGCGCGAGCAGGUGCGAAAGCAGGUCAUAGUGAUCCGGUGGUUCUGAAUGGAAGGGCCAUCGCUCAACGGAUAAAAGGUACUCCGGGGAUAACAGGCUGAUACCGCCCAAGAGUUCAUAUCGACGGCGGUGUUUGGCACCUCGAUGUCGGCUCAUCACAUCCUGGGGCUGAAGUAGGUCCCAAGGGUAUGGCUGUUCGCCAUUUAAAGUGGUACGCGAGCUGGGUUUAGAACGUCGUGAGACAGUUCGGUCCCUAUCUGCCGUGGGCGCUGGAGAAUUGAGGGGGGCUGCUCCUAGUACGAGAGGACCGGAGUGGACGCAUCACUGGUGUUCGGGUUGUCAUGCCAAUGGCACUGCCCGGUAGCUAAAUGCGGAAGAGAUAAGUGCUGAAAGCAUCUAAGCACGAAACUUGCCCCGAGAUGAGUUCUCCCUGAGACUUUAAGUCUCCUGAAGGAACGUUAAAGACGAUGACGUUGAUAGGCCGGGUGUGUAAGCGCAGCGAUGCGUUGAGCUAACCGGUACUAAUGAACCGUGAGGCUUAACCUUACAACGCCGAAG
RNAcentral lists this ribosomal RNA (2923 nucleotides) under Klebsiella pneumoniae. RNAcentral describes it as "23S ribosomal RNA". It matches the Rfam family "Bacterial large subunit ribosomal RNA". Lineage: Bacteria; Pseudomonadati; Pseudomonadota; Gammaproteobacteria; Enterobacterales; Enterobacteriaceae. The record is from RNAcentral.